This 379-nucleotide ribosomal RNA is filed under the name uncultured bacterium. Its description in RNAcentral is "partial 16S ribosomal RNA". It matches the Rfam family "Bacterial small subunit ribosomal RNA", at positions 355 to 726 of the family's 1533-position model. The record is from RNAcentral.
UGGGGAAUAUUGGACAAUGGGCGAAAGCCUGAUCCAGCCAUGCCGCGUGUGUGAAGAAGGUCUUCGGAUUGUAAAGCACUUUAAGUUGGGAGGAAGGGCAUUAACCUAAUACGUUAGUGUUUUGACGUUACCGACAGAAUAAGCACCGGCUAACUCUGUGCCAGCAGCCGCGGUAAUACAGAGGGUGCAAGCGUUAAUCGGAAUUACUGGGCGUAAAGCGCGCGUAGGUGGUUUGUUAAGUUGGAUGUGAAAUCCCCGGGCUCAACCUGGGAACUGCAUUCAAAACUGACUGACUAGAGUAUGGUAGAGGGUGGUGGAAUUUCCUGUGUAGCGGUGAAAUGCGUAGAUAUAGGAAGGAACACCAGUGGAGAAGGCGACC